CCCCUCUUAUUCUAUCGUUAUCCGGAUUUAUUGGGUUUAAAGGGAGCGUAGGUGGACUGGUAAGUCAGUUGUGAAAGUUUGCGGCUCAACCGUAAAAUUGCAGUUGAUACUGUCAGUCUUGAGUACAGUAGAGGUGGGCGGAAUUCGUGGUGUAGCGGUGAAAUGCUUAGAUAUCACGAAGAACUCCGAUUGCGAAGGCAGCUCACUAGACUGCAACUGACACUGAGGCUCGAAAGUGUGGGUAUCAAAC
RNAcentral lists this ribosomal RNA (250 nucleotides) under uncultured bacterium. Its description in RNAcentral is "partial 16S ribosomal RNA". It matches the Rfam family "Bacterial small subunit ribosomal RNA", at positions 524 to 773 of the family's 1533-position model. The record is from RNAcentral.